Non-coding RNA from Alexandromys fortis (reed vole), 623 nucleotides. The record is from the annotation of a RefSeq genome assembly. NCBI's taxonomy places the organism in Eukaryota, Metazoa, Chordata, Mammalia, Rodentia, Cricetidae.
AGGAGAUCAGCCUUGGAUUCCCAAGUCCUCCCAUUCAGUGGUCAGCACUGAACAGGUCACUCACCAUGGAUUUAGGGCUCAUAUUGGUUUUCUUUGUCCUUAUUUUAAAAGGUGUCCACUGUGAGGUGCAAUUGCUGGAGUCUGGAGGAGACAUAGUGCAGCCUGGAAAGUCCCUGAAACUCUUCUGUGCAGCCUCUGGAUUCACCUUCAGUAGUCAUGCAAUGGCCUGGGUCCGCCAGGCUCCCGAGAAGGGGCUGGAGUGGGUGGCAACCAUUAUUUACGAUGGUAGUGUCACCUACUAUACCGAUGCAGUGAAGGGCCGGUUCACAAUCUCCAGAGACAAUGCCAAGAACACUCUGUACCUGGAAAUGAGCAGUCUGAGGUCAGAGGACACAGCCAUGUAUUACUGUACAAGAGACACAGUGAGUGAAUGUUACUGUGGACUCAGACAAAAACAUCCCUGUGGGGGAACACAGGGCCAGCAGGGGGCUCUGAGAGCACUUAGAAAUCUGGGUCACAGAAGAGCCUGCUCAGAGAAACAUGAAAGACUGGACUUAUUUGUGUCUGCACUAUCUCUCCAUAUCUCACUUAGGGUUUUUCUCUACAAAUAUAGUGAGUAUUAA